AUUCUGACAAUAUUUUAUUACCUUUUAAAUUGCAGUGUUGCACUAUAUAUUUUUUUCUUUUGAGCAAAACUUUACUCACUUUACUGUAUAUUACAGUGUAUAAAAAUGGUGAGUGAUUUUAUACGGUUUACACUGACCACUAAGCGCUGAAUACUGGUGUUGGCUUUUGGUCAUAAGGUUAUACAGUAUAAAUUCUCUUAGAUGCACGGAUUAGAUAGACAGGUAUGACAGUCAGACUAUCCAACCAGCCAACGUGUCAGAGAGAGAGUUUUUUUCAAG
Molecule: non-coding RNA, 279 nt
Organism: Pelobates cultripes (western spadefoot toad)
Lineage: Eukaryota; Metazoa; Chordata; Amphibia; Anura; Pelobatidae
Source: the annotation of a GenBank genome assembly